GCACCAUGAACCAGGACCUGGAGACGCUGAUGGCCUUGGAACGGGCCCACAUCCUAGCCAGUUACACCCAGGCACGCCCGGCGGGGUCUCCAGGGGACGCCCGGGAAGGUGCCGACCUCUCGCUGCGCAGGCUCACGGACCAUCACGGCUUCCUGCAGGAGAAGGAGCUGCCCGGCCUCAGCCCCCGAGAGGC
Long non-coding RNA from Mustela lutreola (European mink), 193 nucleotides. RefSeq lists it as uncharacterized. The record is from RefSeq and is a predicted model, not a curated record. The transcript has 3 exons. NCBI's taxonomy places the organism in Eukaryota, Metazoa, Chordata, Mammalia, Carnivora, Mustelidae.